Molecule: ribosomal RNA, 422 nt
Filed under: uncultured bacterium
Lineage: Bacteria
Description: bacterial SSU rRNA
Rfam family: Bacterial small subunit ribosomal RNA
Source: RNAcentral
UGAGGAAUCUUGCGCAAUGGGGGAAACCCUGACGCAGCAACGCCGCGUGAGUGAGGAAGGUCUUCGGGUCGUAAAGCUCUGUCAGGCGGGAAGAAAUGCAUGGAGGUGAACAGCCGCCAUGCUUGACGGUACCGCCAGAGGAAGCACCGGCUAACUCCGUGCCAGCAGCCGCGGUAAUACGGGGGGUGCAAGCGUUGUUCGGAAUCAUUGGGCGUAAAGAGCGUGUAGGCGGCUUGGUAAGUCAGAUGUGAAAGCCCUGGGCUCAACCCGGGAAGUGCAUUUGAAACUGCCAGGCUCGAGUAGGGGAGAGGGAAGUGGAAUUCCUGGUGUAGAGGUGAAAUUCGUAGAUAUCAGGAGGAACACCGGGGGCGAAGGCGACUUCCUGGCCCUAUACUGACGCUGAGACGCGAGAGCGUGGGUAG